GUCAGCAUGGCAUAGUGGUUUGAAUGUUGGACUAGGACUCUGGAGAUCAGGGUUCAAAUCCCUGAUUGCCCAUG
RNAcentral lists this transfer RNA (74 nucleotides) under Phrynosoma platyrhinos (Desert horned lizard). RNAcentral describes it as "tRNA-OTHER". The record is from RNAcentral. Lineage: Eukaryota; Metazoa; Chordata; Lepidosauria; Squamata; Phrynosomatidae.